RNAcentral lists this long non-coding RNA (1422 nucleotides) under Cyanistes caeruleus (blue tit). Its description in RNAcentral is "lncRNA (ENSCCEG00000002785.1)". Lineage: Eukaryota; Metazoa; Chordata; Aves; Passeriformes; Paridae. The record is from RNAcentral.
UCUCAGAUCAGAGAAACAGGUAAGGAUGCAGCCAGCCUUGUGGGUCUCUGGGAGAGGAACAUUAACAGCUGAACAGGGUCCUUCAAUCAAGGUACAACAGAGAGAACUGGGGGCCCGUCUUCUUGUGCUGCCCAGCUACACCUGCAACCAAAGACAAGUUUCUUAAUUUCUCUGCUUUGGUUUACCAUUGCUAAAAAAGCACAGCAAUAGUUUCCUAAGUCCUCAAAGCUGGUGAUUUGUAAGAUGUAACUGGUUAAAAUCAGAAGGUUCAGAAGUUGCAUUGAUGACAACUUUUGAAAUGCAUACAAAAAAAAAUGAGCUAAAGUAAGUGCAGGCUAAGCACCAAGGAGUGAGAAAUAGAUUGAAAACCCCACCUGAAAAGAUAAGUGUUCUUUUAGUAAUUACCUCUCCCUUUCUUGAGGAUGUGUGAAGAUUCUGAUUUACAGGGUUUUUUAAAAAAUAUUAAAUGAAAAACAUGCUUCUUUUUUGUCCAUGCUCCGCUUCUUAUCUCCAAAAAAUCAGUUAACUGCACUUGGGAGGGGCAGAGUUUUAUGAGAUGGUACAAAUUUCCUGGUAUAAUUUUAUUAUCGUUAAGAUUCAGAGGAGUGGCGACAGCUCUCACAAACAGGAGAUUCAGGGUCAUCUUUUCUCCAAUCCAGAGACAACAGAAUAGGGUCAGAACCGAAGGCGGAAAGCAAUCUGGCCAAAGGCAGCCAGAGGAGUGUGCAAGGGGAAAAAAACAGCCAAUAUAUGCAGUGGACAGUCUCCAUUUCUCUUCUGCUGUUCGUGCUCAGCACUCACAAGAUUCAUCCCUUGGAGAUACACCCUGCUGUCUCCCUCGUCCAGCUUUUCCUUUUUGGCUCUUUCCUACCAAUGAAAAAAUCUAGUGGCUGUCUCUGAUACGACUCCUAAUUUCUUCAGCAACAGCAUGCAAGAACAGAUCCCUGACAGCUCCUCUUACUCCACAAUGUUUUGCACCUCAGAAGAAAAUCCGGCUUGGACUCUGACCCAUCUGAGUUAAUGACUCUUGGAAAACGUUAAGACUGAGUCCUUAAUGAAUGCCAUUCUAUACCAGGCUCCCUUUCUUCUUUUUCUGGAAGUACAUUACAAAGCUCAGGGAUAGUGUGUGUUUACGCAAUAUUAAGAAUGUGAGUAAGUUUUACUUUUACUCUGCCAAAUCUGUCAAGAAUUAACAAAGUUUUGCCACUAUGGCUGAUUGCUUGUCCUAAUUUGAAAGCUUUGAAUCUAAAGCUAAUUUUAUUUGUUGGUCCCUCUGGUCUCAUAUUUACUCCCCUUUAACGAGGGAGGCAUGAAACCUGACUCCCCUUCCAGGACAAUUUGACGCGGGAAGUGUAAGAGGAUAAAGUAUUUGAGAAAAGCACCCCAGGAGCAUUGGGUUGCCCAGAACGAGGGAAUGUUGGG